CUGUAUUUUCUAAAUCUGCAGUGCGGCUGCUUCUUCAAUGUCAGCUUUGAAGCAGCCGACUAUCCGAGUUGUAGCCAUUAUAGCAGAGGGAGUUCCUGAAUCAGACGCAAAGCAGCUAAUUAGCUAUGCACGUGCCAACAACAAGGUAAGGACUAUAUGUCACCAAUGUUCCAGAUAUCGGCAACUGGGUACCAUCUUGGUCGGGUGCUGAAUAGGGAUUAAUCGGCGAAUCAGCCAUUUAACUGAAUUUAUCGGUAAACCGUUCGGUAGGUUAACUAGGGUCAUACCAAACAUAUAGCUAAAUAUUUGUGUUAGCCAUAUUCUGCUUGUCCCUCUACUUUCCUUUCUUUUCUUUUCUUUCUACAUAAGGGCAUUUGGGCUGUCGACACUGCUGCUAGGCUGGAGCCCAUUCAGUCCACUACGGUUCCAGCGAUGGGUGUGUAAAAGAUUCCCCAUGCAGCCACUCUCCUUUCUCUCCUCCACCCUGGGUGACGAAUAGUCAAUCCCCCCCCCCCCUCUCUCUCUCUAUAUAUAUAAUAUAAUAUAUAUAUAUUGUAAUGAGUGGAGAUGAUCGUUAUUUUCGCCGAGGACACAUAAACGAUUAAACUGCAUAUUUAAUGUUUAUUUUUGCUAAGUUGUUGAGUGCUAUUUGUAGGUCAUCAUUGGACCUGCAACAGUCGGAGGAGUUCAGGCUGGUGCUUUCAAGAUUGGUGAUACGGCUGGAACCAUUGAUAACAUCAUUCAAUGCAAGCUGUACAGGCCUGGAUCAGUUGGUUUUGUGUCUAAAUCGGUAUGCUUUAAUUUCGUUGUUAAUAAGCUUACUUCAUCGCAUGUAUUUCUGUAUGAUUCAGAUCGGUCAAUAAAGUGACAGAAUAAAAAGAACUGCCCAUUGUGUCUGUAAUGACAACUUUAUUGUUUACAUAUGGAGUUCCUUAGAACCUUAGAACACCAUUAUGAUGCUUUUUUUUUUGUCAAUAUGGGGAGAGCUCUUGAUUUUCUAUUUGUUAUAUUUCCAGAACCCCACUUCUUAAUUUGAUGACCGAUUAGCAUAUAUUCUCAAAUGUAUAUUUUGAUUACUACUUACAAACCGAACUUCCAUUAUUUCAAUAGGGUGGCAUGUCAAAUGAGCUGUACAAUACCAUUGCAAGAGUGACCGAUGGUAUUUAUGAAGGUACCUUGUUUGUGGAUGUGAAUAAAUGUUAAUGUCACAUUUACUGAUUCACAUGACGUACUAACAUUUUCUGAACAUAUUCAGGAAUUGCAAUUGGUGGGGACGUUUUCCCUGGCUCAACUCUUUCAGAUCACAUUCUGCGUUUUAAUAACAUACCCCAGGUUUGACACUUAGCAUCUCUAUAUAGAAAUAGAUAGUGUUAACCUUCUUCCUGUAGUGUAUGAAUAUUCAUCAUAUUUGUUGCACAAUUGUCUUGUUAAUAUUAAUUUUUUCUUCUCUGACAUGAUUGGACAUCCAUAGGAUGUCACUGUAACAUGUUCCUUUGGCCCUGUUUGGAUACUCUAACUCAGUUAGAGGUUGGAGUUAGAUUCUAAUCCAUAGGAUGUCACUGUAACAUGUUCCUUUGGCCCUGUUAGUUAGAGGUUGGAGUUAGAUUCUAACCCUGAACUAACUCUAACCAAAGAGGUGUUUGGAUGGAAGGGUUAGAUUGACAAUAAAUGCUCUUUCUCAAUCAUUUGGUUACUUUGGACCCUAUUUCCUGCCGGAUUUAGUGUGGCCGGCUCUUGUGUGGCCUCCUCCCGCCGAGAGCUGCGCUGGCCGAGGCAGGCGGGGACACGCCCGCGCAAGGAGCCGCGCUGGCCUCUCGCGCAGCCCGCCGGCCGAAUCCGCCGUCCCUGCGCAAGGAGCCGCUCUGGCCGAGGCCGAUAGGGACGGGCCGCGCAAGGAGCCGCGACUGCUUACCGGUGGGCGGAUGGGCCGCGGGGAGACGAGGGGGUUGGAACGGGAGGAUAGGGCGGGGCUGCUUACCGGCGGGCGGCGGCGGACGGGAGCGCGGAUACGGCGAGGCGCCUUCACGGGCGGUGCGAGAGGGAGGGAGGGAGAGGACGAGAAGCUUCGAGGAAGUGAGGAGGGAUCCGCUGCGGGGAGAGCGAAAGAAAAAGGUGUUUUUUUAGUGGUCCCGAGGAGAACUAACCCAAAU
RNAcentral lists this long non-coding RNA (2150 nucleotides) under Hordeum vulgare. RNAcentral describes it as "long non-coding RNA (HVUL_LNC007211)". The record is from RNAcentral. Lineage: Eukaryota; Viridiplantae; Streptophyta; Magnoliopsida; Poales; Poaceae.